GGUGCUUUGGUUUUAAAAUCUUCUCAGUACAAGUGUCUCCAGGAGCUGGCCCCAUACCUGGCCCCAUCAUGACAAAAUAAUUCACCCCUUCCAAUCUACCCUUCCCCAGAUGAAAUUAAAAUGACUGGGCAUCCAGAUUAACGAGCGGAUCACAAGCAGGAGCAUACUGGCUGUGAACAGCCCUGGGCCAGGGCAGAGCAAGUAGCCCUGGAGCAGCUGACCAGUUCUAGGAGCUGAGAACAGAGUGACAGGACAUGGGGUGAAGGAUCUGAAAAUGCACGCACAGGCAGAUGACCCACCCAGACUGUUCACAACCACAGCAGCUCGGGACUCUCUGCUUGG
Long non-coding RNA from Cercocebus atys (sooty mangabey), 342 nucleotides. RefSeq lists it as uncharacterized. NCBI's taxonomy places the organism in Eukaryota, Metazoa, Chordata, Mammalia, Primates, Cercopithecidae. The transcript has 3 exons. The record is from RefSeq and is a predicted model, not a curated record.